Molecule: non-coding RNA, 1882 nt
Organism: Callithrix jacchus (white-tufted-ear marmoset)
Lineage: Eukaryota; Metazoa; Chordata; Mammalia; Primates; Cebidae
Source: RefSeq, a predicted model, not a curated record
AUGUCUCGCUAACUGCGUCCCCCAAACACGUCUCUGUUCGUCAGGAACGUGGCCGACGACACCAGGUCUGAAGAUUUACGGCGUGAAUUUGGUCGUUAUGGUCCUAUAGUUGAUGUGUAUGUUCCACUUGAUUUCUACACUCGCCGUCCAAGAAGAUUUGCUUACGUUCAAUUUUGAGGAUGUUUGUGAUGCUGAAGAUGCUUUACAUAAUUUGGACAGAAAGUGGAUUUGUGGACGGCAGAUUGAAAUACAGUUUGCCCAGGGGGAUCGGAAGACACCAAAUCAGAUGAAAGCCAAGGAAGGGAGGAAUGUGUACAGUUCUUCACGCUAUGAUGAUUAUGACAGAUACAGACGUUCAAGAAGCUGAAGUUACGAAAGAAGGAGAUCAAGAAGUCGGUCUUUUGAUUACAACUAUAGAAGAUCGUAUAGUCCUAGAAGUAGACCGACUGGAAGACCAAGGCGGAGCAGAAGCCAUUCCGACAAUGAUAGAUUCAAACACCGAAAUCGAUCUUUUUCAAGAUCUAAAUCCAAUUCAAGAUCACGGUCCAAGUCCCAGCCCAAGAAAGAAAUGAAGGCUAAAUCACGUUCUAGACCAAACUGCAGCUGGAAUACCCAGUACAGUUCUGCUUACUACACUUCAAGAAAGAUCUGAAAGCGGAAAAAGAACCAAAGAAGGGCAGUUCAAGCGACCAAAGGGUGGGUGGAAGGUGCUGCAGUAUGAAUACUGUACGAAUAUUUUGACUCUGGUCUGAAAAGAUAAAAGAAUGUUAUCGAAAACCACAUGGAAUAAUUGAAGUCCCUUCAAGUUUGAAAGUAAGCAUUUUAGGACAAAUAAAAGGAAAUUCAACUUUGUACUUGUGGAAACUAAUCCCUAAAUAUGAAUAGGUUUAUAUUGAUUCAUGGGUACCAGAUCCAUAACAAAUUAUUGGAAAAUAGGAUGUCUGAAUAUCAAGGAAGACAGCCAUAGUCUCUUACGGUGCCUCUGUUGGUCUGUCUCAAACUGAAUUGGGUGGGGAAAUGUAUGGUCCAAUAUAAAAGUUCCAUUUUCGCCAUUAUUGGCAAAUCUUGCCUUUGUUUAUUUUGGUGCCAGUGUUUUCUGCUUAAACAUUUGCUUUGUUGGCAUCUGCAUUUAUUUACUUGUACACCACAUGCAGUUUACAUCUUCCUUAACUACUCUCCUUCCCAGGUAAAUUCGAAUUACAUUUGACAUCCAGCUAAGAGGGCCCAUCUCUUCUCACCUCUUUCCUAGUCAAUAUGUUCAGCAAAUAUUUAUUGAGCCCUUACUAUGGGCAAAUCAUUGUACUGGAUAAUUGAGGAGAAAAAUAGUUGAUUCCCUUAUUCGGUAAAUGUCUACUGAGCACAAUCUAGUGAAUCAUUACAUAUCACCUUGUCGUUUUGUUUGAGGUAUAUUAUUCGUAACAAUAUUUUACACCAUUCAUAUCUUAAUGUAAUUAUAGAACCCAAUAUACUAUCAAGAAUAAGUAAUUAUGUGGUUAUUCUGCCAUUUAAAAGUAUCCAGUAUUUGUUUAAUCCCAAUAUUACAAAUAAUGAAAAAAUGAUUUGUUUUAAUCUGUAAUAAACUGGUUUAUUGUGCAGUGACUGUAAUAUACUAGAGUUAUAUUAAAGUGUUCACUCUGCCUCACCAAACACAUACUAGGAAAUAACCCCCAAAAUAAGUAUUUAACUUUGCAUUAGAUAUAAAGGAUACUGGGUGCUAUAAUUAGAUUAUUUUGAGGCAGACAGCUGUUAUCCCAACUGAUUUAGUAUGUUCUGUAAUUGAGAAAAUGUUCACCAAAUUAUACUUUUUAGUGAUUUAUAUGUACAUUUUAUAGGGGACGUGUUCUGUGUAUAGUGAAUAAAUAACUUUUAUAGUAUCAUGAAA